Molecule: ribosomal RNA, 947 nt
Filed under: Scolecobasidium constrictum
Lineage: Eukaryota; Fungi; Ascomycota; Dothideomycetes; Venturiales; Sympoventuriaceae
Description: LSU rRNA
Rfam family: Eukaryotic large subunit ribosomal RNA
Source: RNAcentral
GAUUAAGCAUAUCAAUAAGCGGAGGAAAAGAAACCAACCGGGAUUGCCCCAGUAACGGCGAGUGAAGCGGCAACAGCUCAAAUUUGAAAUCUGGAGUCCUUGGUGGCUUCCGAGUUGUAAUUUGCAGAGGGAGCCUCGGAGGGCUGGUCGGUCCAAGUGCCUUGGAACAGGAUACCGCAGAGGGUGAGAGUCCCGUAUCCGGCCGACGCAGUGCUCCGUGUGAGGCCUCUUCGACGAGUCGAGUUGUUUGGGAAUGCAGCUCUAAGUGGGUGGUAAAUUCCAUCUAAAGCUAAAUACUGGCCAGAGACCGAUAGCGAACAAGUAGAGUGAUCGAAAGAUGAAAAGCACUUUGAAAAGAGAGUUAAACAGUACGUGAAAUUGUUGAAAGGGAAGCGCAUGGGGGCAGACUUGGGCGCGGGGUUCAGGGUCUCUUUUUUGGAGGCGUGUACUUCCCCGCGGACAGGCCAGCAUCGGUUCUGGGGGCCGGACAAAGGCGAUGGGAACGUGGCUCUCUUCGGGGAGUGUUAUAGCCCGACGUGCAAUGCGGCCACCUGGGACCGAGGACCGCGCUUCGGCAAGGAUGCUGGCGUAAUGGCCUCAUGCGGCCCGUCUUGAAACACGGACCAAGGAGUCUAACAUCUAUGCGAGUGUUUGGGUGGCAAGCCCGGACGCGCAAUGAAAGUGAACGGAGGUGGGAGCCCUUUCCGGCGCGGAGGGGGUGCAGCAUCGACCGAUCCGGACGUUUUCUGAAGGAUUUGAGUAAGAGCAUAGCUGUUGGGACCCGAAAGAUGGUGAACUAUGCGUGAAUAGGGUGAAGCCAGAGGAAACUCUGGUGGAGGCUCGCAGCGGUUCUGACGUGCAAAUCGAUCGUCAAAUUUGCGUAUAGGGCGAAAGACUAAUCGAACUAUCUAGUAGCUGGGUUCCUGCCGAAGUUCCCCCUUCAAGAA